This 586-nucleotide long non-coding RNA is filed under the name Dasypus novemcinctus (nine-banded armadillo). RNAcentral describes it as "lncRNA (ENSDNOG00000052478.1)". Lineage: Eukaryota; Metazoa; Chordata; Mammalia; Cingulata; Dasypodidae. The record is from RNAcentral.
AAAGUUUAUAGACCUUGCAUGUUAAACUGUUUCCUGGGACUGGAGUCAUUGUCAUUGUCACCAAGGGCAGGACUGCAGCCUCUUACCGUUUCACACCCACAAGUCAGACAGCUUAGGUUAUCUCUGAAGAGACAAAGAGCCUCCCACCCAUAGUCCACAUCACUGUCAGAUGUGGCCUGGCAUUCAGAGACUUUCCUUUUCUGGCUCUGCCAGAGACAUAAAUAUGUCAAGAGAGACAUGGUUAGUGAGGAAGAACCCUUUGAGCCUGGAGGGACCAUAGACUGUGUCACUGUGCACCGUGGGAUCAGUACAGUUUCCUGGAGGAGGCACCAGCCCUCAUCUACACAGGGUGAUUUCCUUUCCAGUAGCUGUUCUCCAGAGGUGCUCAGAAGCGAUUCCCAGAGGAGCCAAUACCUCUUCCAGAAUGAACCCUUCAAAACAAUGUGUAAACCAAAAUGCUUGUGUGAGCUUCAAACAAUUGAAAGCGGUUUCAGAACAUCUGAAGGAUCUGUGUCAGCCUCCAAGGCUGAUCUAAGGGCUCACAGAGCUGUGUUUGUCUAUGUGCCUGUUUAACAACUCCUGGGGA